AAUAAAWUGGCUGAGAUUAAGCGAUAAAUUGUAAAUUUAUUUACGAGAAUGUUUCUCUUUUAUUA
This 65-nucleotide transfer RNA is filed under the name Choristoneura occidentalis (western spruce budworm). Its description in RNAcentral is "tRNA-Tyr". Lineage: Eukaryota; Metazoa; Arthropoda; Insecta; Lepidoptera; Tortricidae. The record is from RNAcentral.